This 293-nucleotide small nuclear RNA is filed under the name Colobus angolensis palliatus. RNAcentral describes it as "7SK RNA (ENSCANG00000001939.1)". It matches the Rfam family "7SK RNA". Rfam says of the family: 7SK was discovered as an abundant small nuclear RNA in the mid-70s but a possible function has only recently been suggested. Two independent studies have found that 7SK RNA binds the CDK9/cyclin T complex (known as elongation factor P-TEFb). P-TEFb activates transcription by phosphorylating the C-terminal domain of RNA polymerase II. The record is from Rfam by way of RNAcentral. Lineage: Eukaryota; Metazoa; Chordata; Mammalia; Primates; Cercopithecidae.
GGAUAUGAGGGCGAUCUGGCUGCGACACCCGUCAUCCCACUGAUCGCCAGGGUUGAUUCGGCUGAUCUGGCUGGCGAGGCCAGUGUCCCGUUCCUUCCUCACUGUUUCCUGUGCCUCCCUCCCAAAGCUGCGGCUCAAUCGAAGAGGACGACCAUACCCAAGAGAGGAGUUGGGCUCCCCUACUAGAACCUCCAAACAAGUUCUCAAGGUCCAUUUGUAGGAGAAUGUAGGGUAGUCAAGCUUCCAAGAUUCCAGACACAUGAGGCGCUGCAUGUGGCAAUCUGCCUUUCUAG